RNAcentral lists this unclassified non-coding RNA (182 nucleotides) under uncultured fungus. RNAcentral's name for it is "sequence contains ITS1, 5.8S rRNA gene". Lineage: Eukaryota; Fungi. The record is from RNAcentral.
CUGAGUGCCGGUCCCUCGUGGACCGAACCUCCCACCCUUGUCUCUUGUAUACCCUGUUGCUUUGGCGGGCCCACUGGGAACCCCCAGUCGCCGAGGGGCACUGCGCCCCUGGGCCCGUGCCCGCCAGAGCGCCCUUGAACCCUAAUGAAGAUGGACUGUCUGAGCAUGAUUGAUAAUAAUCA